CCUACGGGAGGCAGCAGUGAGGAAUAUUCGUCAAUGGGCGCGAGCCUGAACCAGCCAAGUAGCGUGAAGGAUGACUGCCCUACGGGUUGUAAACUUCUUUUAUAAAGGAAUAAAGUGAGGCAAGUGUGCCUUUUUGUAUGUACUUUAUGAAUACGGAUCGGCUAACUCCGUGCCAGCAGCCGCGGUAAUACGGUGGAUCCGAGCGUUAUCCGGAUUUAUUGGGUUUAAAGGGAACGUAGAUGGGUUGUUAAGUCAGUUGUGAAAGUUUGCGGCUCAACCGUAAAAUUGCAAUUGAUACUAGCAGCCUUGAGUACAGUUGAGGUAGGCGGAAUUCGUGGUGUAGCGGUGAAAUGCUUAGAUAUCACGAAGAACUCCGAUGGCGAAGGCAGCUUACUAAACUGCCACUGACAUUGAUGCUCGAAAGUGUGGGUAUCAAACAGGAUUAGAUACCCCAGUAGUC
RNAcentral lists this ribosomal RNA (460 nucleotides) under uncultured bacterium. RNAcentral describes it as "partial 16S ribosomal RNA". It matches the Rfam family "Bacterial small subunit ribosomal RNA", at positions 338 to 795 of the family's 1533-position model. The record is from RNAcentral.